Molecule: long non-coding RNA, 204 nt
Filed under: Elaeis guineensis (African oil palm)
Lineage: Eukaryota; Viridiplantae; Streptophyta; Magnoliopsida; Arecales; Arecaceae
Description: long non-coding RNA (EGUI_LNC005053)
Source: RNAcentral
CCUUGCUCAUCAAGCCAUCAAGUUUCUGGGCUUACUCUUUGCUUUCCUACAUUUAAGAUUCAAACAUUAACCCUAGCUGCAUAGUCCAUUUUCUUCCUUAGGUGAAUAAAUCAAGUGGAACCUGCCCUUCAACACCCUCUUUUGCAUCAAUCAGCCGGUUUUUGCUAGGCUCCCUUGAUUGUCUCAAUGAGCUCUUGAACCAUG